GUGCUUGCCUUGGCAGCUCGUUUACUAAAAUUGGAAUAAUACAGAGAAGAUUAGUGUGGCCCUGCAAAAGGAUGACAUGCACAUUUGUGAAGUGUUCUAUAGCUUC
This 106-nucleotide small nuclear RNA is filed under the name Mus caroli (Ryukyu mouse). The record is from RNAcentral. Lineage: Eukaryota; Metazoa; Chordata; Mammalia; Rodentia; Muridae.